Molecule: ribosomal RNA, 428 nt
Filed under: uncultured bacterium
Lineage: Bacteria
Description: partial 16S ribosomal RNA
Rfam family: Bacterial small subunit ribosomal RNA
Source: RNAcentral
GUGGGGAAUAUUGCGCAAUGGGGGAAACCCUGACGCAGCAACGCCGCGUGAAGGAUGAAGGUUUUCGGAUUGUAAACUUCUUUUACCAGGGACGAAACAAAUGACGGUACCUGGUGAAUAAGCCACGGCUAACUACGUGCCAGCAGCCGCGGUAAUACGUAGGUGGCGAGCGUUAUCCGGAUUUAUUGGGUGUAAAGGGCGUGUAGGCGGGACAGCAAGUCAGAUGUGAAAACCAGAGGCUCAACCUCUGGCCUGCAUUUGAAACUGUUGUUCUUGAGUGUCGGAGAGGUAAUCGGAAUUCCGUGUGUAGCGGUGAAAUGCGUAGAUAUACGGAGGAACACCAGUGGCGAAGGCGGAUUACUGGACGAUAACUGACGCUGAGGCGCGAAAGCGUGGGGAGCAAACAGGAUUAGAAACCCUGGUAGUCC